This 509-nucleotide ribosomal RNA is filed under the name uncultured bacterium. RNAcentral describes it as "partial 16S ribosomal RNA". It matches the Rfam family "Bacterial small subunit ribosomal RNA", at positions 28 to 523 of the family's 1533-position model. The record is from RNAcentral.
GACGAACGCUGGCGGCGUGCUUAACACAUGCAAGUGGUGCGACGAACCAGGCUUCGGCCUGGGGCAGAGCCGCGAACGGGUGAGUAACACGUGGGCAACCUGCCCUGUUGAUCGGGACAACCCGGGGAAACCCGGGCUAAUACCGCAUGUGGCGCCGGCUCAUGAUAGCCGUCACGAAAGGAAGCUCCGGCCUCCGCGACAGGCAGGGCCCGCGGCCCAUUAGCUUGUUGGUGGGGUAAUGGCCUACCAAGGCAACGAUGGGUAGCUGGUCUGAGAGGACGAUCAGCCACACUGGGACUGAGACACGGCCCAGGCUCCUACGGGAGGCUGCAGUGGGGAAUCUUGCGCAAUGAGCGACAGCUUGGCGCAGCAACGCCGCGUGGGGGAAGAAGGCUUUCGGGUCGUAAACCCCUUUCAGUUAGGACGAAGCUUUAUUGGUUAAUAACCAAUUGGAGUGACGGUACUUUCAGAAGAAGCCCCGGCUAACUACGUGCCAGCCGCCGCAGUAA